Molecule: ribosomal RNA, 433 nt
Filed under: uncultured bacterium
Lineage: Bacteria
Description: partial 16S ribosomal RNA
Rfam family: Bacterial small subunit ribosomal RNA
Source: RNAcentral
AACGAACGCUGGCGGCAUGCCUAACACAUGCAAGUCGAACGAGACCUUCGGGUCUAGUGGCGCACGGGUGCGUAACGCGUGGGAACUUGCCCUUAGGUUCGGAAUAACUCCCCGAAAGGGGUGCUAAUACCGGAUAAUGUCUUCGAACCAAAGAUUUAUCGCCUUUGGAUGGGCCCGCGUUGGAUUAGCUAGUUGGUAGGGUAAAAGCCUACCAAGGCGACGAUCCAUAGCUGGUCUGAGAGGAUGAUCAGCCACACUGGGACUGAGACACGGCCCAGACUAAUACGGGAGGGAGCAGUGGGGAAUAUUGGAAAAUGGGCGAAAGCCUGAUCAAGCAAUGCCGCGUGAGUGAUGAAAGCCUUAGGGUUGUAAAGCUCUUUUACCCGGGAGGAUAAUGACAGUACCGGGAGAAUAAGCUCCGGCUAACUCCGUG